RNAcentral lists this ribosomal RNA (925 nucleotides) under uncultured archaeon. RNAcentral's name for it is "bacterial SSU rRNA". It matches the Rfam family "Archaeal small subunit ribosomal RNA", at positions 21 to 922 of the family's 1478-position model. The record is from RNAcentral.
CCCCACUGCUAUCGGGAUGGGACUAAGACAUGCUAGUCGAGCGUCUCCAAGCUAUGGAAGAGACGCGGCACACAGCUCAGUAACACGUGGCUAACCUGCCCUUGGGACAAGGACAACUCCGGGAAACUGGGGCUAAUCCCUGAUAAGUGAGAACUCCUGGAAUGGAUUCUCGCUCAAAGGACGUUUAGACCAUGCUUCUAGGCGUCGCCCAAGGAGGGGGCCGCGACCGAUCAGGUUGUUGGUGAGGUAACGGCUCACCAAGCCUUUAACCGGUACGGGCCGUGAGAGCGGAAGCCCGGAGAUGGGCACUGAGACAAGGGCCCAGGCCCUACGGGGCGCAGCAGUCGCGAAAACUCCGCAAUACACGAAAGUGUGACGGGGCUAUCCCGAGUGCCAUCCGCUGAGGGUGGCUUUUCCCCAGUGUAUAAAGCUGGGGGAAUAAGGAGAGGGCAAGCCUGGUGUCAGCCGCCGCGGUAAUACCAGCUCUCCGAGUGGUGGGGAUGUUUAUUGGGCCUAAAGCAUUCGUAGCCUGCUUGGCAAGUCCUCCGUUAAAUCCAACGAUUCAAUCGUUGGGCUGCGGGGGAUACUGUCCAGCUAGGGGGCGGGAGAGGCCGACGGUAUCCCCGGGGUAGGGGUGAAAUCCUAUAAUCCCGGGAGGACCACCAGUGGCGAAGGCUGUCGGCUAGAACGCGCUCGACGGUGAGGGAUGAAAGCUGGGGGAGCGAACCGGAUUAGAUACCCGGGUAGUCCCAGCUGUAAACGAUGCAGGCUAGGUGUUGGCGCGGCUACGUGCCGCUCCAGUGCCGCAGGGAAGCCGUUAAGCCUGCCGCCUGGGAAGUACGGCCGCAAGGCUGAAACUUAAAGGAAUUGGCGGGGGAGCACCACAAGGUGUGAAGCUUGCGGUUUAAUUGGAUUCAACGCCGGG